RNAcentral lists this small RNA (265 nucleotides) under Arabidopsis thaliana (thale cress). RNAcentral describes it as "ATSL305070". Lineage: Eukaryota; Viridiplantae; Streptophyta; Magnoliopsida; Brassicales; Brassicaceae. The record is from RNAcentral.
GUAAAUGUUAGAUGCUUUUAUGUCCUCUGUUUUCUGUUUCCACUUCUCGUUAUCAGACCGUAACUUCUCCCAUAUCUCAUCUUGGAUCCUCUGGAUCUGUAACUCUUUGGAGACCACAAUCCAAAUCACAAUAUCAAACUCGCCCCCAACUCUAGAGAAUCUAUUGUUGAUAUGACUGAGAAGUGUAGUUUUACCUACUCCACCCAUACCAUGAAGACCAAGAAUCCCAAUCUCAUCUUCCAUUAGACGGUUCCACGCACUCUCA